UACGUAGGGGGCUAGCGUUGUCCGGAAUCAUUGGGCGUAAAGCGUGUGUAGGCGGGUCGUUAAGUGUCUUGUGAAAUCCCACCGCUCAACGGUGGAACUGCUGGGCAUACUGGCGAUCUUGAGCCACCUAGGGGCGAGCGGAACAAGCGGUGGAGCGGUGAAAUGCGUAGAUAUCGCUUGGAACGCCGACGGUGAAAACAGCUCGCUGGGGGUGUGCUGACGCUGAGACACGAAAGCCAGGGGAGCGAACGGG
This 253-nucleotide ribosomal RNA is filed under the name uncultured bacterium. Its description in RNAcentral is "partial 16S ribosomal RNA". It matches the Rfam family "Bacterial small subunit ribosomal RNA", at positions 524 to 776 of the family's 1533-position model. The record is from RNAcentral.